UCACUAAACACUUGGCUGGAUCGUUGUUCAUGACCGCGAUUGGAGUUAACGAUUACGCUUUCUACUUUAAAGAGACAACCGAUCCAAAUGAAUUCGCAGAAAAACUUCUUCAUGAUUUCUUGAUGCAAAUUAAGGUAAAAUAAAAUGAUGUUUGAAUUUUCGCCAAUUUUUCAUUGGCCUCUACGUUAACUAAUGGUAAUAUUGUUUGAUUGAGAUAGACCGAACCAAACAUAUUAGCUUAACAGUGAACCGGAUGAGACUUAAACUUACAAACUUUUGAAAAACUGAAACCAAAAAUAUUUUAAAUGCUAAUAGAUAAUAUGUUUUUUUAAAAUAUUGUUUCAAGAAGAUAUAUUCUUUUGCAUUUUCUAUCCAUUUUUAAUAAAUAAUAAUGAUAGACUGUGAGUUAUAAAAUAAUUAUAUUUAUUAAAUUUUUGUUAAUUUAAAAAUAGAGAAAAUAGAUAAUCACAGAAUAUAAUUAAUAAAGUUAUAAUUAAAUUUUAGUAUGUGUGAAAACUUUAAAAUGUAGAUUUUUGAUAUAGGAGUUUUUUAUAGGAGUAUAGUUUAUAAAAUAAAAAUAUAUAAAUCGAAUUAAUAAUCUUAUAUAUAUAUAUAUAUAUAUAUAUAUAUAUUAGUCUGAGUUUAGGCUCAAAUACUUUUUUCAGGGUUAAUCGAGAUGCAUUAUACAAAAUAUUCUGAUUUUGUUUUGCAGAGAUUGCAUGAGUUAGGAGCAAGGAAGUUCUUCAUAAACAAUCUUAAACCAUUAGGAUGUUACCCAAAUUACAUAGUAGCUAACACCGUACCACGUGGAAGCUGCAGCAAGUAUUUAAACCAAGGGGUUGCCAAAUACAACGCCAAGCUAAGGAAAAGCCUG
RNAcentral lists this long non-coding RNA (874 nucleotides) under Brassica rapa (field mustard). RNAcentral describes it as "long non-coding RNA (BRAP_LNC001478)". Lineage: Eukaryota; Viridiplantae; Streptophyta; Magnoliopsida; Brassicales; Brassicaceae. The record is from RNAcentral.